Molecule: ribosomal RNA, 705 nt
Filed under: uncultured bacterium
Lineage: Bacteria
Description: bacterial SSU rRNA
Rfam family: Bacterial small subunit ribosomal RNA
Source: RNAcentral
GAAUGGGCGAAGCUGAUCUUCAUACCGGUGUGUGAAGAAGGCCUGAGGGUUGUAAAGCACUUUCAAUAGGAAGGAAUACCUAUCGGCUAAUACCCGGUAGACUGACAUUACCUAUACAAGAAGCACCGGCUAACUCCGUGCCAGCAGCCGCGGUAAUACGGAGGGUGCAAGCGUUAAUCGGAAUUACUGGGCGUAAAGCGUGCGUAGGCGGUUAUUUAAGUCAGAUGUGAAAGCCCUGGGCUUAACCUGGGAACUGCAUUUGAUACUGGGUAACUAGAGUUUAGUAGAGGGGAGUGGAAUUUCAGGUGUAGCGGUGAAAUGCGUAGAGAUCUGAAGGAACACCAGUGGCGAAGGCGGCUCCCUGGACUAAAACUGACGCUGAGGUACGAAAGCGUGGGUAGCAAACAGGAUUAGAUACCCUGGUAGUCCACGCCGUAAACGAUGUCAACUAACUGUUGGGUUCUUUAAGAACUUAGUAGUGGAGCUAACGUAUUAAGUUGACCGCCUGGGGAGUACGGCCGCAAGGCUAAAACUCAAAUGAAUUGACGGGGGCCCGCACAAGCGGUGGAGCAUGUGGUUUAAUUCGAUGCAACGCGAAGAACCUUACCUACCCUUGACAUCCUCGGAACUUGUCAGAGAUGACUUGGUGCCUUCGGGAACCGAGAGACAGGUGCUGCAUGGCUGUCGUCAGCUCGUGUCGUGAGA